RNAcentral lists this ribosomal RNA (1074 nucleotides) under Triticum aestivum (bread wheat). Its description in RNAcentral is "partial small subunit ribosomal RNA". Lineage: Eukaryota; Viridiplantae; Streptophyta; Magnoliopsida; Poales; Poaceae. The record is from RNAcentral.
AUGGAUGGACAACAUGACGUGAGAUCUUCAAAUCUGAAAAAUGGUUGUGAUGUAGUGACCAACUCUGACAAUAUGAAGGCGGUUGAUCAUAUUGAUAGAGUGAGAGAUGAGAAUGUUCAUAGGAGGUAUGACUUGAGGAGUGCAAGAUUUAAGAGUACUUCUGAUGUACCUAGUAGUUCGAGCAAAAGAAAGCUGAAUCGACAUGAUGGAAGGAACAAUGAGCGCAUGAACAGAAACAAUGUAGUGAGGAGUCCAACCAUCCAAAGUAGUUCCAUUCAGCAAAAAUGGAUUACCAAGUGCAAGUAUAAUAUAACUCGUGGGCACAAAAAUAAGAAGAGGACGGAAGCAACGCUAAAUUUUGGAAGUCAGAAGGACAAUACAGAUGUUCCUCCUUUAAACUAUCCAUCGAGAUUCAAAAAUGUGAUGCCAAAAUACGAGUACCAUGUUACCGCCCAUCAAAUGGGGUACUUUCUUUCUGAUGCGUGUUAUGCUUGUGGGAAACCACGAGGUCCCUGCAUGCCAAUGAAGAGAGACAAACAAUUUUUCAGCCUUCCAAUGGUAUCUUUACAUAGAGAAUUUUUGACAAUACCUUGCAAUCUUCAUGAAAAGGUUAACAAGAUGGGUGAAGAUACAAUAAAUAUUGAAGAUAUGUAUCAAAGAAAUUACAAAGUUAAACUUGUAAAAGCUUCUGCAAUGACGUUUGUGUGUGGAAGUGGGUGGCAAGAAUUUGUGAUUACUCAUGAUAUUGAUGAUGGUGAUCGAGUUUGUUUCCACUUCAAAGAAGACUUGGUGACUAUGAUUGCAUUUGUUUACCGAGAUAAGCUUGUAUGGCAUGAUGGAAAGAAGGUUCUUGCUACAAAUGAAGUUCAACCAACUUACAUGAAAGGGCUUGUCCGUUCUUUCAAAAUGGAGAUGAGUAGCACUGACAUCAAUUGCAUGCUUACACUUACAGGUCUAUUACUGAAGAACUAUGCUUGCCAAGAGAAGGUGAAGUUACACUUAUCAAUCGCAGAGGUGAUGUUAAAGUGCAAGGUGCAUACUCCAUUUCUGCUGAUGAUGGUUGUCUUGGUUUGA